AGUGAACGCUGGCGGUAGGCCUAACACAUGCAAGUCGAACGGCAGCACAGGAGAGCUUGCCCUCUGGGUGGCGAGUGGCGGACGGGUGAGGAAUACAUCGGAAUCUACUUUUUCGUGGGGGACAACGUAGGGAAACUUACGCUAAUACCGCAUACGACCUACGGGUGAAAGCAGGGCAUCUUCGGACCUUGCGCUAUUGAAUGAGCCGAUGUCGGAGUAGCUAGUUGGCGGGGUAAAGGCCCAACAAGGCGACGAUCCGUAGCUGGUCUGUGAGGAUGAUCAGCCACACUGGAACUGAGACACGGUCCAGACUCCUACGGGAGGCAGCAGUGGGGAAUAUUGGACAAUGGGCGCAAGCCUGAUCCAGCCAUACCGCGUGGGUGAAGAAGGCCUUCGGGUUGUAAAGCCCUUUUGUUGGGAAAGAAAUCCAGCUGGUUAAUACCCGGUUGGGAUGACGGUACCCAAAGAAUAAGCACCGGCUAACUUCGUGCCAGCCGCCGCGGUAA
This 506-nucleotide ribosomal RNA is filed under the name uncultured bacterium. RNAcentral describes it as "partial 16S ribosomal RNA". It matches the Rfam family "Bacterial small subunit ribosomal RNA", at positions 29 to 523 of the family's 1533-position model. The record is from RNAcentral.